UGCAGAAUCCCGUGAACCAUCGAGUCUUUGAACGCAAGUUGCGCCCGAUGCCAUUAGGUUGAGGGCACGUCUGCCUGGGCGUCACAUAUCGAAGCCUCUCGCCAAUUUCCUAUAUUGAUAGGGGUAUUGUGCAGGGCGAAUGUUGGCCUCCCGUGAGCUCUAUUGCCUCAUGGUUGGUUGAAAAUCGAGACCUUGGUAGGGUGUGCCAUGAUAGGUGGUGGCUGUGUUACGCACGAGACCAAGUAAGUCAUGUGCUGCUCUAUUGAAUUUAGGCCUCUUUUACCCACAUGCGUUUCGAAACGCUCGUGAUGAGACCUCAGGUCAGGCGGGGCUACCCGCUGAAUUUAAGCAUAUCAAUAAGCGGAGGAAAAGAAACUAACAAGGAUUCCCUUAGUAACGGCGAGCGAACCGGGAUAAGCCCACCAUGAGAAUCGGUCGCCCUCGGCGUUCGA
Molecule: ribosomal RNA, 452 nt
Filed under: Trifolium occidentale
Lineage: Eukaryota; Viridiplantae; Streptophyta; Magnoliopsida; Fabales; Fabaceae
Description: eukaryotic LSU rRNA
Rfam family: Eukaryotic large subunit ribosomal RNA (bases 312-452)
Source: RNAcentral